UUCAUGUAAAUUUACAAAAUAAAUAAAGUUGAAUCCUUAACAGCACUGAAUUCUAAUGACACAAAUAUUACUUGACGCGGAACGCGAUUAUUUGAUGUAAAUUUACAUCACACUUGAUGUAAAUAAAAAGAAGCAUACCAUACGACGGAAUUUUCAGUGCGAGUUGAAUAUUACACGUCUUAAUAUUUUACAUGUCUUUCAAAUUUUACACGUCUAUUGAAAUUUACCGACGUGCAACAUUCAACUCGAACUGAAAACUCCAUCAUACACAGCAAUUAAAUCAGAAUCCUUAACAGCGCUGAAAUUGAGUUGCUAUAAUAUUACAUGACAAGGAACGCGUUUUUUUAUGUAAAAUUUCACCCCUACGCAAACAUAAAUUCUAAAUAAAACUGAAUUUGGAAUAUAUAAAAAUUACAUGUCGGAGAACUCAAUUUUUAAUUGUAAGUUUCAAUCAUUUGAAUCCUAAGCAGCAUCGAAAAUUUUAUUGAGAUGUAGUUUUCCUCUAGUGAGUGAAACUUUAAAUUUGUUCAGUAUCAUUUUUUUUUCGUUUUGGGGGGCUUUUGGCACGUUCAGUAUCAUUCAUCCGAACAACUCGAAAAUAAAGAAUUCUGCCCUUUUUGUCAUAAAAUAAGUGUACAUAACAGUGUUAAGAAUAUAUUGUCCGUGAUUUAAGACUCUCAAGUAGACGUGAAAAUAGUAUCCCUCAAUUUCUGACAGCGAAAGCGCCGCGGAAGGAGCCGCCGUCGGAGCGCAAGAAAGGCAGAUGUAAACAAAACGGCAAACCACAACAAACACGCGUGUUUUGGAACCGGUAACGGCGAUCCCUCUUUUUCAACCUGUGCUGCGAAACUCUGCUUCGAUGAUUAGGAAAUUAAGGAUGGAGAACUUGACGGAGGGAGCAGAAUCCACCAGCAGGAAAAAGGCGGUUCGAAUCGAAUUUGUCGAUCAAAUGUUAUCGCUUCAUGUUGGCCCAUGGCAGGAUCGAACUCGUUGCUCGACGGUAUGGCUUUUUUCAAAUAAGGAACGUCUGUUUUCUUGACCGGUCGCAGUAACACGAUUAACAGCACACAAAUAGGAUUUUCCGGCGGACACCGUGCCUGGUGGUGAGUUCCACCGACAAUAAUAACUACGGUGGCCCUAUCGGUGGAAAUAAUUUUACUUAUCAACAGUCAGAACCCAGGCCGCAGUUACGAUAACAAUGAUGACGGCGACGACGAGUUAAAGGCGACCUUACGAUUCCUUUUGCUGGCGUAAAUUGAGGACAAGAUAACGGGAUAAAUAUUAUUAAUCAGGAAUCAUCACUGUGAAAGAGAUGGCACGUAAACGACAGCAAACAGUAAAGAGACCUAUGGAAAGCAUUUUGUGAUCCGAUUGCCGGGCCAUUUCGGUAUAAAAUGAUACGGGGAGGAGUUGUCGGUAUCGUUGGUGAUUCUCCUUCCAAAACUGGGGCCGGGGGCACGAAAGAGUUCUGCUGGUUUGAAAAGAACCUACGUUAUUGUAGGAUGAACUCUACAUGGACAAGCGAAAGUGCAUUGAUGUUGCCACCAUGGAAACCGGUUUAUAAAUUCCUCCCCGUGAACCUAGUUAUGAAAAUCUUUGAAAAAGUGUUUAUAAGAUGAGUGAUUCAAUUAUGUUUAGUUAUCCUAGAGGUUUGUGUUAUGUGUUGUUACACAAAUGUAAACAAAUGGCAAUAAAAAAUACAAAUCGGAAGAUAAAAUAAAAAUGCUGGUUUAAA
Long non-coding RNA from Uranotaenia lowii, 1735 nucleotides. RefSeq lists it as uncharacterized. The transcript has 5 exons. Lineage: Eukaryota; Metazoa; Arthropoda; Insecta; Diptera; Culicidae. The record is from RefSeq and is a predicted model, not a curated record.